RNAcentral lists this ribosomal RNA (403 nucleotides) under uncultured bacterium. RNAcentral's name for it is "partial 16S ribosomal RNA". It matches the Rfam family "Bacterial small subunit ribosomal RNA", at positions 30 to 526 of the family's 1533-position model. The record is from RNAcentral.
AUUGAACGCUGGCGGCCGGCCUAACACAUGCAAGUCGAGCGAGCGGCGGACGGGUGAGUAAUGUAUGGGGACUGCCCGAUCGAGGGGGAUAACUACUGGAAACGGUAGCUAAUACCGCAUACUAUCGGAUAACCCAUAUGGGAUUAGCUAGUAGGUGAGGUAAUGGCGUACCUAGGCGACGAUCCCUAGCUGGUCUGAGAGGAUGAUCAGCAACACUGGGACUGGGACACGGCCCAGACUCCUACGGAGGCAUCAGUGGGGAAUAUUGAACAAUGGGCGCAAGCCUGAUGCAGCCAGGCCGCGUGAAUGAAGAAGGCCUUAGGGUUGUAAAGUACUUUCAGUCGGGAGGCGUUACCGACAGAAGAAGCACCGGCUAACUCCGUGCCAGCAGCCGCGGUAAUAC